CCUACGGGGGGCAGCAGUGGGGAAUAUUGGACAAUGGGGGCAACCCUGAUCCAGCCAUGCCGCGUGUGUGAAGAAGGCCCUCGGGUUGUAAAGCACUUUCAGUGAGGAAGAACGCCUGGUGGUUAAUACCCAUCAGGAAAGACAUCACUCACAGAAGAAGCACCGGCUAACUCCGUGCCAGCAGCCGCGGUAAUACGGAGGGUGCGAGCGUUAAUCGGAAUUACUGGGCGUAAAGCGCGCGUAGGUGGCUUGAUAAGCCGGGUGUGAAAGCCCCGGGCUCAACCUGGGAACGGCAUCCGGAACUGUCAAGCUAGAGUGCAGGAGAGGAAGGUAGAAUUCCCGGUGUAGCGGUGAAAUGCGUAGAGAUCGGGAGGAAUACCAGUGGCGAAGGCGGCCUUCUGGACUGACACUGACACUGAGGUGCGAAAGCGUGGGUAGCAAACAGGAUUAGAUACCCGGGUAGUC
Molecule: ribosomal RNA, 465 nt
Filed under: Vreelandella stevensii
Lineage: Bacteria; Pseudomonadati; Pseudomonadota; Gammaproteobacteria; Oceanospirillales; Halomonadaceae
Description: partial 16S ribosomal RNA
Rfam family: Bacterial small subunit ribosomal RNA
Source: RNAcentral